This 318-nucleotide unclassified non-coding RNA is filed under the name rhizosphere metagenome. RNAcentral describes it as "partial ribosomal RNA internal transcribed spacer region". The record is from RNAcentral.
GUAGGUGAACCUGCGGAGGGAUCAUUAGCGUAAAACUCCAAGUUGGAGACGAGUGUCAACGAGUCUUCAACUUGAGUGUUGUUCAUUGUUGGAGACGAGUGCAAACGAGUCUGUAACAAGGAGCACUGUUGUAGCGGUGAGUUGGAGAUUGUGGUCUCAAGGUUGACUCGUCAACAUUGCGCAUUCUGUCUCUAACUCCCCACCCCUACUCACUAUCACGUGUUGCUACAACAUUCGUAGCACAUUUACAAUCACAUUUCCUCAACAAUAACAACAACCAAACAAAAACAACUUUUAACAAUGGAUCUCUUGGCUCUU